Molecule: microRNA precursor, 76 nt
Filed under: Schistosoma curassoni
Lineage: Eukaryota; Metazoa; Platyhelminthes; Trematoda; Strigeidida; Schistosomatidae
Description: mir-3492 microRNA precursor family
Rfam family: mir-3492 microRNA precursor family
Source: Rfam by way of RNAcentral
AGUCUUCUGAAUCUACCGAAAUUUUAUCAAACCCCAGACCAUCAGUACUGAUGAAACUUCCUAGAUAAGUAAAGCG